RNAcentral lists this long non-coding RNA (1528 nucleotides) under Homo sapiens (human). RNAcentral's name for it is "HSALNT0303576". The record is from RNAcentral. Lineage: Eukaryota; Metazoa; Chordata; Mammalia; Primates; Hominidae.
GGUGAAGUCAAGUUAGAGCAGCACUGGACUACAGCAAGCGGGGGAGAAGGAAGUUCAGCACCCAGGUGGAGACUGCGAUUAGGCCCCCAAGGCGCUUAGAGCAGACAGAGGGAGAGAGGCUCCUUUUAGGAGCGGGUUUGGCGGGCGCCACCCCAAGCGGCCAAGGGCGGAGCCUCUUUUAGGCGACUGCUCCCGCGAGGUCAGAGCCGGGCUGUGCCGCUGCCCCCGGGACUAGAAAGGGAAAUCUCCUUGCUAGAGGAGGAAGCCCUAAGAACUCAAGGGAGAUAGGGGUGGCAGGGGCAUUUCCCUGGAUGCCUGGAGCAUGGAGGGUGCGAAAUAAGGAGGCUUUCCUACCCCAUUGAUGAGCUGAAGUUGAUUCCGCACGGGGGAGGAAAGGGACAGGAAGCAUAAUUGGAUGUGCAAGCCUGUGGUUCUUCAGGAAGUUAACACGUGGAACUAACACUGUUGGAUGCUGCUGAACUCUCAGGUGAUUGAUGUGACUAACCUCCUCAGGAGGCUUUCCGGAAGCACUAAGAAAUAGAACUAGUUUGUCUAAUUUGGAAUUAAAAGAGUAACCAACUGAGUGUCUUCAGCAGUGACAAUGAAAAUGUACCACUUCCCAUUUUGAUAAUUCAAAGAGCCUUAAGAAAGAUCGUUUUGCUUGAAAGCACUAUUUCACACUGACACUGGUCAUUCAUAGGCUUCAGAUAAGAAAAACUCCAGCAGUGUCCAGAUCAAGCCAUCCUGACUUUGUCUCUAGGCGGCUUAACCUCAAGUCACAGCCUGGUCUCUGCAGCAGAGCCAGGCAUUCCGGAGCCUGCACGGCCUAGCUCUUCUGGAGCAGAUGGGCUCACUUCCCAGGGUGCUGCUAGCUUGCAUUCAAAGUGACUUCACAUCUCACUCCCUCAGGUGGUCAGGAUGAUGCCCAUCCCUGAUCUGACACAGGCACUGAUGUCCACUAGACUCUGGCCAGCAAAAAGCCCUCUCACAGAAGAAGGGGUCAAAAAGGGCUAAAUCUGAGACAGAAGCCAGUUUCUCAGAUGUGCUAUUUCUGCCUAAGCAUCCUUUCUUGAACAAUAAAAAAAAAAGGCUGAAAAUAUCUCUUAUAUCAUUUUCAGGAACACAAAUUUUAAUUUCGUCUGCUUUUUUCUUAAAGGGGAUAAUCAACCACUGAAUCAUCUGAUUUCUUAGAAUAUACACUGCUACUUAAGUGUCUAUUAUGUGCCUUUUAGCAUGUGAUGGUUACAUUAGGUGGCUACCAGCUUGCUCCAUGCCAGAAAAUAAGGAAACAUAAGGUAAUCAGUAGCAAUGUAAGAAAUUCAAAGCAUUCAGUUGAUGAAAAACCCAAUUUCCUUUCUUGACAUAGAUGACAAUCUGGUAGAAGUACAACUCUGGACAAAUCUGUAUAGUGUUGUCUUUAAAAAAGAAGAUAAUUUUUCAAAUUAUAAUCAUCAGUGACCAUAGCAGUGCAGGAUCUGUGCAAGAUCAAACAGGCAGCACUGAGCAUGGGGCUUGUGACUGGUGGAGG